This 1173-nucleotide long non-coding RNA is filed under the name Lingula anatina. RNAcentral describes it as "uncharacterized LOC106151824, transcript variant X1". The record is from RNAcentral. Lineage: Eukaryota; Metazoa; Brachiopoda; Lingulata; Lingulida; Lingulidae.
UGUGUAUAUUUUCUUAGGUUGGUUUGGCAGCUUGUCAGAUAGCUAAGAACCUGGGUCUGCAGGUUAUAGGUACUGCCAGCACAGCAGAGGGCCUGCAUCUUGUCAAGGAGAAUGGGGCCCACCAUGUUUUCAAUCACAAGGAAGAGGGGCAUCAGGGGAAAAUAAAGGAGGCCACAGAGGGUAAGGGAGUUGAUAUUAUAUUGGAGAUGAUGGCCAAUGUAAACCUGCCUGCUGAUGUAAUGCUUUGCAAGAAACAUUGUCGAAUUAUGGUUAUAGGUAAUCGUGGGGACUGUGAGUUCAACUUUAGCAAACUGAUGACAAAUGAAACUUCUGUUAUUGGAGUCAAGCUUAUGAUGACUGAAGGGCAUGAAUGGGAAAUGAUGGGAAGCUUCAUGUAUGCUGGUAUGGAACAGGGCUGGUUGAAACCAGUUGUACACAGGAAAUAUGACCUGAAGGAUGCACCACAGGCACAUGCAGAUAUCAUCAGCAAUCCAGGAUGCAAGGGAAACCUUGUUCUGCAGAUAUAGUACUGGUGUCAUUCAAAAUAUGGUAAAAUGGGGUCUUUAGAUGUAGCAUACAUUCAGUGCUACAAGAUGCAGUGCUAUCAGUGUCAAGAUACAGGUGGCCAUGUUCAGUUAUGGAGCCCUGUUCAACAGUCUUGUGUUGCUUUCAUUUCUGCUUGUCGCCGGCAUUUACAGCUUUCUGUCCUUCUUGAUGACAGUCUGUCCCACAUGUUUCCAUCCUACAUUAGACACUGACUUCUCUUGGACAUACUUGACAGUUGUAUGAUCACCAGGUAUGGCUGGCAGAUGGAUUUAUCGACUUCUGCUUGACACUAGAUGGUGCCUUAAUUUUACUCAUUGUCAAGAAUUUUAAAUAAAUCCUUCAGAAAGCCAACAGGAUGGUAAUGCAUGCAAGAGGGAUAAAUUAUCUCCAAAUCUGCAGCAAGUUUCAACAAGCAGGCCAAGGAAUUGCUGAUGUGUUUUUGCAUUCAAAUGCAUGUCCAAAUUGAAACUAACUGCUGAAAAAAAGACAGUUUAAGAUCUUUGUUCUUUUUUUCAAUGCUGAUGGGUGCAGACCCGUGGAGUGGGGAGGGGGAUGUCAUUCACCCCAUUUCCAUAGAUUUUUAGAUCGAUCUAUCCCUGUGGGGAGUCUCACUAGAUUACUGUCAGC